This 460-nucleotide ribosomal RNA is filed under the name uncultured bacterium. RNAcentral's name for it is "bacterial SSU rRNA". It matches the Rfam family "Bacterial small subunit ribosomal RNA", at positions 338 to 795 of the family's 1533-position model. The record is from RNAcentral.
CCUANGGGGGGCAGCAGUGAGGAAUAUUGGUCAAUGGACGGAAGUCUGAACCAGCCAUCCCGCGUGCAGGAAGACGGCGCUAUGCGUUGUAAACUGCUUUUCCAGGGGAAGAAAACCCUCGACGAGUCGAGGCUUGCCGGUACCUUGGGAAUAAGCAUCGGCUAACUCCGUGCCAGCAGCCGCGGUAAUACGGAGGAUGCGAGCGUUAUCCGGAUUCAUUGGGUUUAAAGGGUGCGUAGGCGGACUGAUAAGUCAGUGGUGAAAACCUGCAGCUUAACUGUAGAACUGCCAUUGAUACUGUCAGCCUUGAGUGUGGUCAAGGUAGGCGGAAUGUGUAAUGUAGCGGUGAAAUGCUUAGAUAUUACACAGAACACCGAUUGCGAAGGCAGCUUGCUGGACCAUUACUGACGCUGAUGCACGAAAGCGUGGGGAGCGAACAGGAUUAGAUACCCGUNUANUC